AUUCGACAUUUUAAAUGAUAGUCCCAGUAAGAGUGGAACUUGAUCUAAAUAGAGCUGAUUCCGGAUCCAUAGAUUGUAGUUUCGAUCCCAAAUGAAUAACAAAAAGUUGAAUCAAAGUCUAGCAAAUUUGGGUCUAAAACAAAAUAAUAAUAAUAAUAAUAAUAAUAAUGUAGUUUGGAUGUCUAAAAUCUAGAUGUGAUCCAAAUAUAAUGAGAAAUCAAACCCUAUCUUACUCGACUCACCAAAAUGAAUGAACCAGAUUUCGAAACCUAAACUCAAAGCCCGCUUAGACC
Molecule: long non-coding RNA, 293 nt
Filed under: Elaeis guineensis (African oil palm)
Lineage: Eukaryota; Viridiplantae; Streptophyta; Magnoliopsida; Arecales; Arecaceae
Description: long non-coding RNA (EGUI_LNC081084)
Source: RNAcentral